Molecule: ribosomal RNA, 484 nt
Filed under: uncultured bacterium
Lineage: Bacteria
Description: partial 16S ribosomal RNA
Rfam family: Bacterial small subunit ribosomal RNA
Source: RNAcentral
AUUGAACGCUGGCGGCAGGCCUAACACAUGCAAGUCGAGCGGAUGAAGGGAGCUUGCUCCUGGAUUCAGCGGCGGACGGGUGAGUAAUGCCUAGGAAUCUGCCUGGUAGUGGGGGAUAACGUCCGGAAACGGGCGCUAAUACCGCAUACGUCCUGCGGGAGAAAGUGGGGGAUCUUCGGACCUCACGCUAUCAGAUGAGCCUAGGUCGGAUUAGCUAGUUGGUGGGGUAAAGGCCUACCAAGGCGACGAUCCGUAACUGGUCUGAGAGGAUGAUCAGUCACACUGGAACUGAGACACGGUCCAGACUCCUACGGGAGGCAGCAGUGGGGAAUAUUGGACAGUGGGCGAAAGCCUGAUCCAGCCAUGCCGCGUGUGUGAAAAAGGUCUUCGGAUUGUAAAGCACUUUAAGUUGGGAGGAAGGGCAGUAAGUUAAUACCUUGCUGUUUUGACGUUACCAACAGAAUAAGCACCGGCUAACUUCGUG